CCUAUAUCUUGGAUGUUCCGGCUUGCCGGGACUAUGGCGAUAAACGCACCCGUAAUACGCGGAUCGGACCCGGGGGCGGUACCCGGCGGCUCCACCAGACUAUCCCUCGUUGGGGGCGGAUGGGGCCGAAACAGGAUCGACGAACGUCCAAAGGGGCCAGCUUUCGCUCGGUGAGCUACCACCGUUAUCGGUGCAAAAGUACAGUUGCCAACGACAACCGUGCUCCGGUCGCGCUGGCUGCGUAAGCAGUUCGCAAGACCAAAACUUAAGCCCUUGCGCUUAGCCGCGUAAGGCGGGGUUCGCAGGUACCUGGCAACAGAAACCUG
This 326-nucleotide transfer-messenger RNA is filed under the name uncultured Rhodobacter sp. RNAcentral describes it as "Alphaproteobacteria transfer-messenger RNA". It matches the Rfam family "Alphaproteobacteria transfer-messenger RNA". From Rfam's summary of the family: Bacterial tmRNA, also known as 10Sa RNA or SsrA, is named for its dual tRNA and mRNA-like properties. Its role is to liberate the mRNA from a stalled ribosome. Lineage: Bacteria; Pseudomonadati; Pseudomonadota; Alphaproteobacteria; Rhodobacterales. The record is from RNAcentral.